GAUGAACGCUGGCGGCGUGCCUAAUACAUGCAAGUCGAGCGAACAGACGAGGAGCUUGCUCCUCUGACGUUAGCGGCGGACGGGUGAGUAACACGUGGAUAACCUACCUAUAAGACUGGGAUAACUUCGGGAAACCGGAGCUAAUACCGGAUAAUAUAUUGAACCGCAUGGUUCAAUAGUGAAAGACGGCUUUGCUGUCACUUAUAGAUGGAUCCGCGCCGCAUUAGCUAGUUGGUAAGGUAACGGCUUACCAAGGCAACGAUGCGUAGCCGACCUGAGAGGGUGGUCGGCCACACUGGAACUGAGACACGGUCCAGACUCCUACGGGAGGCAGCAGUAGGGAAUCUUCCGCAAUGGGCGAAAGCCUGACGGAGCAACGCCGCGUGAGUGAUGAAGGUCUUCGGAUCGUAAAACUCUGUUAUUAGGGAAGAACAAAUGUGUAAGUAACUAUGCACGUCUUGACGGUACCUAAUCAGAAAGCCACGGCUAACUACGUG
This 497-nucleotide ribosomal RNA is filed under the name uncultured bacterium. RNAcentral describes it as "partial 16S ribosomal RNA". It matches the Rfam family "Bacterial small subunit ribosomal RNA", at positions 28 to 507 of the family's 1533-position model. The record is from RNAcentral.